Molecule: ribosomal RNA, 857 nt
Filed under: Salmonella enterica
Lineage: Bacteria; Pseudomonadati; Pseudomonadota; Gammaproteobacteria; Enterobacterales; Enterobacteriaceae
Also listed under: 1 other name
Description: partial 23S ribosomal RNA
Rfam family: Bacterial large subunit ribosomal RNA
Source: RNAcentral
AGACCCGAAACCCGGUGAUCUAGCCAUGGGCAGGUUGAAGGUUGGGUAACACUAACUGGAGGACCGAACCGACUAAUGUUGAAAAAUUAGCGGAUGACCUGUGGCUGGGGGUGAAAGGCCAAUCAAACCGGGAGAUAGCUGGUUCUCCCCGAAAGCUAUUUAGGUAGCGCCUCGUGAAUUCAUCUCCGGGGGUAGAGCACUGUUUCGGCUAGGGGGCCAUCCCGGCUUACCAACCCGAUGCAAACUGCGAAUACCGGAGAAUGUUAUCACGGGAGACACACGGCGGGUGCUAACGUCCGUCGUGAAGAGGGAAACAACCCAGACCGCCAGCUAAGGUCCCAAAGUCAUGGUUAAGUGGGAAACGAUGUGGGAAGGCCCAGACAGCCAGGAUGUUGGCUUAGAAGCAGCCAUCAUUUAAAGAAAGCGUAAUAGCUCACUGGUCGAGUCGGCCUGCGCGGAAGAUGUAACGGGGCUAAACCAUGCACCGAAGCUGCGGCAGCGACACUCAGGUGUCGUUGGGUAGGGGAGCGUUCUGUAAGCCUGCGAAGGUGGCCUGUGAGGGUUGCUGGAGGUAUCAGAAGUGCGAAUGCUGACAUAAGUAACGAUAAAGCGGGUGAAAAGCCCGCUCGCCGGAAGACCAAGGGUUCCUGUCCAACGUUAAUCGGGGCAGGGUGAGUCGACCCCUAAGGCGAGGCCGAAAGGCGUAGUCGAUGGGAAACGGGUUAAUAUUCCCGUACUUGGUGUUACUGCGAAGGGGGGACGGAGAAGGCUAUGUUGGCCGGGCGACGGUUGUCCCGGUUUAAGCGUGUAGGUGUGUGUUCCAGGUAAAUCCGGUUCACUUUAACACUGAGGCGUGA